Molecule: long non-coding RNA, 2073 nt
Filed under: Acromyrmex echinatior (Panamanian leafcutter ant)
Lineage: Eukaryota; Metazoa; Arthropoda; Insecta; Hymenoptera; Formicidae
Description: uncharacterized LOC105143805, transcript variant X2
Source: RNAcentral
UACAGUAUACAUACAUGUACAGAGUAUUGUCAACUUGAUUAUCUAAUAUAUUUUAAUGCGUUAUAGAUGUUCGACAGUUUGAACGAGAACCUUACAAAACAAUUCUUUCUAUAUACGAACGUCCAUUGUUCUCGCUAUAUCUCGCUGCAUAGUCUAUUUGCCGCUACUUAUCUUACAUAACAUAUCCACCAUACACUGCGUCGUAGUGUCAAGCCACUCCCUCUAAAACGACACCAAAAGCAGUCGAUCAGUUCAAGUGUUCAGUUAUACGCACGAUGUUAAACGAUUCGUCGACUUAUCUUACGGUUACCCCAGCUCGUCCUCCACACGCUAAUUUACACGUAGCCCAUAAGAAUAAUCUGCAGUCAACGAGCAGAAUGGACAUAAUCAACAAUUUAACCGAGCGACGAGCAGGGACACAGCAAUGCCGAGUAGGAGCGCUGAGAGCGUGGCCGCCGCCAGCUCGGUACUCGCAACUCCUGGCCGCUUCUGUUCGCCGUGGAUCGGAAAGACACAAUUUUGAGGAAGAGCGCGCGGGCCUCUAAGCAUCGUCACGGCGCAACUAUAUCCCAUUGGUCCACGGCGAUCUCUUUCCACCGCUUAUUGGUUCAUUGACUCCGGCAUGGACGGAAAUUUGGGCAGGGCUACGGGCCCCGGCAAGCCGCCGCGCCAGCAUGGCGCGAAUCCCGCUGGGCCGCGCCCGCCCGCGCCAGAGAAUCGCGCGCGGCGACGCGCGGCUGCGACCGACGCGCGGCCGUCUUUCGUCUACGUCUCGCGAGAGUCGGCGGAUCGUCGUCCACGGGGACAGUGACACCGUUUUUCCCCAAAAUCGGCAUUAAUAACGUACGAUUCCCCGCCACCGUCGCCACCGCCGUUGCCACUGUUGUCGACUAGGACGACGUACGCGCGAAUACCGACUUUAACUCCGGGUUUCUACGGUGUUGCUCAGACACCUCGUGUCUACGUCGACACUGGGAUACUCGAUACGCAAGUCGCGUACCUUCGCCACCAUGGGAAUAGCUCCCAAACGGAUCGAACGUUAUUACGUUUUCCCCUAAAAUUAAACCUGCUACGCGAAGGAGUGGGGACUAUUACCUGCAACGAGGCAGUGUGUAUGUACAUAUACAGGGUGACUCACGCGACACAUUGGAGUAAGGCGAUGAUGUUUUGCUGACAUUUACGAGUGGCGACGACGCGACACAUUGAUACGAGAUCAGCUGUGCCACUUUAUUUCACGCAUUCUUCCAAUGUCCUUCAACUCUCCGGAAGAAUCAAUCGUCUACGCAACUCCACGAUACACCCAGUACAUAAUCUCGUGCGUGCAGUCGUGCACACGUACAUACAUAUGUAUGUAUAUGUAUGUAUAUGUACAUACGUAGGCCGGCGUCGUUGACAUCAGCGCUUCUAUCGGUGGCGUCGCGAGAUUGCGGGCGGCCGCAUGCGUUCCUGUUGAAAAAAUUCCUCACGGGCGAAAGUCAAGGUAUGAUGGAACAUCGUCGGCGAGCCGGCCGUGCUUGAUUGAGAGAAUGGAGAGAGCUCGAGAUCGCCUCCUUGCGCGAUGUGUUUCCCUGGUAGCAGGAGGGGCUCGGCGAGACAACCCGCGCGAAACUCUGUUCAACGUAGGGAGAACAGCUGCGUCGUACGAGCUCCUAUCACUGCGUGCCGUCCGGAUAACGCGGUGCUCGCAUGCGGGAUGUGAGCACGCACCACGUGCUCGUCACCGGGCUGGCCCGGCCCGGCCGCGCUGGGGUGACGACGAUCAACGAUCGGCCGCGCACCAAUUCCUCGCCUCGCCUCGCCUCGCCUCGGCGCGCUGCAUGUGGCGAUUGGCGAUGUGGCUGAUGUGCGCGUUCAAUUUCUCACGGCGGCACGCACAGUCGCACACAUGCGAAGAAGCGAGGAGGGGACAUGCAGUAGCGCACGUCCAUGCAUCGAUCGUCCAUGUAUAGCCCGUACAUUCGGAUACUCGGGACGCUCGGGUCGAGCUGGCAGGUGUUAGCGUCAAACGGAUCCGACCGUGACUGGUGACACGCAGGUAGAUACACGUAGCAGUCGUGGCCGAGUGGUUAAGGC